This 1217-nucleotide ribosomal RNA is filed under the name metagenome. RNAcentral describes it as "bacterial SSU rRNA". It matches the Rfam family "Bacterial small subunit ribosomal RNA", at positions 295 to 1498 of the family's 1533-position model. The record is from RNAcentral.
GGAGAGUGGUCAGCCACAUCGGGACUGAGACACUGCCCGGACUCCUACGGGAGGCUGCAGUCGAGAAUAUUUCCCAAUGGACGAAAGUCUGAGGAUGCGACGUCGCGUGGAGGAUGAAGGUUUUCGGAUCGUAAACUCCUUUUAUUGAGGAGGAAGGUUAUAAGGUUAAUAUCCUUGUAAUUUGACUGUACUCAAUGAAUAAGCCACGGCUAACUCCGUGCCAGCAGCCGCGGUAAUACGGAGGUGGCAAGCGUUACUCGGUUUGACUGGGUGUAAAGGGUCCGCAGGCGGCCAGACAAGUGAAAGGUGAAAUCUUCCGGCUUAACUGGGAAGUUGCCUUUCAAACUGUUUGGCUUGAGGUUGGAAGAGGAGAGCGGAACUGUCGGUGUAAGGGUGAAAUCUUUGGAUAUCGACAGGAACGCCCGUGGAGAAGUCGGCUCUCUGGUCCAAACCUGACGCUCAGGGACGAAAGCUAGGGGAGCAAACAGGAUUAGAUACCCUGGUAGUCCUAGCUGUAAACGAUGAGCACUAGGUGUUUCUGAUUUAUCAGGAGUGCCGUAGCUAACGCGUUAAGUGCUCCACCUGGGGACUACGGCCGCAAGGCUAAAACUCAAAGGAAUUGACGGGGACCCGCACAAGCGGUGGAACACGUGGUUUAAUUCGAUGCUACGCGAGGAACCUUACCAGGGUUUGACAUGUUGGAAGUAAUCGCCCGAAAGGGUGGAUGACCUGUAACCAGUCAGGUACCAGCACAGGUGCUGCAUGGUUGUCGUCAGCUCGUGCCGUGAGGUGUUCCCUUAAGUGGGAGAACGAGCGCAACCCUCGCCUUUAGUUGCCACUUUAGUUUUUUCUGAAAAGACUAGAAGCACUCUAAAGGGACUGCCCGCGUUAAGUGGGAGGAAGGCGGGGACGACGUCAAAUCCGCAUGGCCCUUAUGUCCUGGGCUACACACGUGUUACAAUGCCUACUAUAAAGGGGGGCGAAGCCGUGAGGUGAAGCAAACCCCAAAGAAAGUAGGCUCAGUUCGGAUCGAAGGCUGCAACUCGCCUUCGUGAAGUUGGAAUCGCUAGUAAUGGCGCAUCAGCAACGGCGCCGUGAAUACGUUCCCGGGUCUUGUACACACCGCCCGUCAAGCGCUGAAAGUGGGGGGCGCCCGAAGCCUCGAUUAUUCGAGGUCACGGUGAAUUUCAUGAUUGGCGCUAAGUCGGAACAAGGUA